Molecule: long non-coding RNA, 1306 nt
Filed under: Struthio camelus australis
Lineage: Eukaryota; Metazoa; Chordata; Aves; Struthioniformes; Struthionidae
Description: lncRNA (ENSSCUG00000005279.1)
Source: RNAcentral
AGUGAAAUUUUACUCAGUGAUCAGCCAGGCUGCAGUAGUCACCUACGUAUNNNNNNNNNNNNNNNNNNNNNNNNNNNNNNNNNNNNNNNNNNNNNGGGAAGAAGAGCUGCUGUAGUUCUGGUUAGCAUCUGCAUGCACUGUUCAAGGUUCAGCUUUCCAGGAAGAUACCUGAAGAUACUGCGGAGAGUGUAAAUACAUGAGAUUCUCACCUCUACGUGGUGUCCUAAGGAAUAGUUACGCCAUUCUGUACUGGCUACAGCAAGACCAUUCUACAGAAGAUCCUUUUCUGUUUAUGAGCUGUUCAUACUUUCUCAGACUAUGGAAGAAUUUCUGGUGAAGCUUCAUGUGGGCUAAGCUCUUUCUGUCUGAUCUAUGAUGACUGAUAUCCUUAUCUUCAUCUAUAAAGAGUUGAGACACUUGGCAACCACAAAGCAACAUGCUUUUCAGUAAGUACCCAGAAAACUCUACAUUUAUGCCACGAGUUACAAAAUUUUAGUAGUUUCUUUGCACUUCAGCAAAAGUUAUGGGGAGGGAAUUGUUAUCCACUCCGCUGAUGUUGAAGCUGUAGCAAUUUGAUUCUCAAUGGUGUUUGAUAGCCACAUCUCUUAAGUCUAGGGAUUGAGGAGAUAGCAGUUUAAGACAUAUAAGUUACUUAAUUUAUUAAAGCUUAAGGCAAGCUUUAAGUGACUUCAAUUCUUGGAUUUCACAAUGAUGUUAACCAUUUUUAGAGGGAAGAAAAUAUCUGCGGAAGGAAGAUAACAUAAAACAAAGCAUUUACGUUCAAAACAAAGUGGAGGUGAAGACAAGACUCCCUUUCAGACCUUUGUCUUCGGAUCUGCAGAUGUGGAGAUAUAUUUUCUUUGUUAUUGGGGAAAAGGCUGAGGAAAAAUUGGUUAUUUUUGUAUAGUUUAGACAAUAGCACAAACCUUUCAUUUACAAAACAGAAAAGAGGGCAGGGGUAGUUCAGCCAUGUCAAGCCUGCUGCUUUAUCUUUGUCUGCAAGAAAAAUGAUUGCAGUUUCAUUUUCUGAAAUUCAUUUUUUUGGCCACCGAUAAUCUUAUUUUCAUUUGAAGAUUUCAGUGAUUUCUUUCAGAUCUUUGUAGAAUCUGAGGAUUACAUUACUUGUAGGGAGCUCAGGUCAUUGUAUUGUGGCUGCUGCGGUGUCACUGAUUUGAAAAUUUGAUUCUCCAAAAUAAUGAAACAUAUAGCUAUAUAGGUUUACUUUCAGCUGGAAAACUGAGAGUCAGUUCCCAUGGCAGCCUCUCCGGCUCUAAAGAUGCUAUGGUCUGUUAGACUGUUGUGUAUC